Molecule: transfer RNA, 64 nt
Filed under: Paradyschiria parvula
Lineage: Eukaryota; Metazoa; Arthropoda; Insecta; Diptera; Streblidae
Description: tRNA-Ile
Source: RNAcentral
AAUGAAUUGCCUGAUUAAAGGAUUACUAUGAUAAAGUAAAUAAUGUAAUUUAUUACAUUCAUUA